This 301-nucleotide ribosomal RNA is filed under the name uncultured bacterium. RNAcentral describes it as "partial 16S ribosomal RNA". It matches the Rfam family "Bacterial small subunit ribosomal RNA", at positions 509 to 807 of the family's 1533-position model. The record is from RNAcentral.
CAGUCGCCGCGGUAAUACGAAGGGUGCAAGCGUUACUCGGAAUUACUGGGCGUAAAGCGUGCGUAGGUGGUGGUUUAAGUCCGUUGUGAAAGCCCUGGGCUCAACCUGGGAAUUGCAGUGGAUACUGGGUCACUAGAGUGUGGUAGAGGAUAGUGGAAUUUCCGGUGUAGCAGUGAAAUGCGUAGAGAUCGGAAGGAACAUCUGUGGCGAAGGCGACUAUCUGGGCCAACACUGACACUGAGGCACGAAAGCGUGGUGAGCAAACAGGAUUAGAUACCCGCGUAGUCCCUGUCUCUUAUAC